GACAUAGGGGGCAAACGUUAUCCGGAAUUACUGGGCGUAAAGAGCUCGUAGGUGGUUUGUCGCGUUGUCCGUGAAAACUCACAGCUCAACUGUGGGCGUGCGGGCGAUACGGGCAGACUGGAGUACUGCAGGGGAGACUGGAAUUCCUGGUGUAGCGGUGGAAUGCGCAGAUAUCAGGAGGAACACCGGUGGCGAAGGCGGGUCUCUGGGCAGUAACUGACGCUGAGGAGCGAAAGCGUGGGGAGCGAACAGG
This 253-nucleotide ribosomal RNA is filed under the name uncultured bacterium. Its description in RNAcentral is "partial 16S ribosomal RNA". It matches the Rfam family "Bacterial small subunit ribosomal RNA", at positions 524 to 776 of the family's 1533-position model. The record is from RNAcentral.